AUUGAACGCUGGCGGCAUGCCUUACACAUGCAAGUCGAACGGCAGCACGGGGCAACCUGGUGGCGAGUGGCGAACGGGUGAGUAAUGCAUCGGAACGUGCCAUUGAGUGGGGGAUAACGUAGCGAAAGUUGCGCUAAUACCGCAUAUUCUGUGAGCAGGAAAGCAGGGGACCGCAAGGCCUUGCGCUCUUUGAGCGGCCGAUGUCAGAUUAGCUAGUUGGUGAGGUAACGGCUUACCAAGGCGACGAUCUGUAGCGGGUCUGAGAGGAUGAUCCGCCACACUGGAACUGAGACACGGUCCAGACUCCUACGGGAGGCGGCAGUGGGGAAUUUUGGACAAUGGGCGCAAGCCUGAUCCAGCCAUGCCGCGUGAGUGAAGAAGGCCUUCGGGUUGUAAAG
RNAcentral lists this ribosomal RNA (398 nucleotides) under uncultured bacterium. RNAcentral describes it as "bacterial SSU rRNA". It matches the Rfam family "Bacterial small subunit ribosomal RNA", at positions 30 to 430 of the family's 1533-position model. The record is from RNAcentral.